GUUGGCAACGGGAGUGGCUUUAGCACCCCGACCACCCUAACAUCUUGCACUGUCUGGGGGCUCCCCGGGCUCAGCAACACCCACCUCUGUGGCUGGGAGCUGGGCUCAGCCACAUCCCUGCAACUUCUCCGGGACACCGCCAUCCAGCUACGCCAAGGCCUGACGGCGGCUCCAUGUUUCCUGCCAAUGGCGGUGCUAUUAAUUUAUACAGAAAGCUCACAUUUGCCAUCACUCCCCUUUACGAAUCGCUUCACCCUCUGACCAGAUCCCCUCACAGUCACUUUCUAGAACUCAUUCUGGUGCCAGCUAUCUUUAUGGACAGAAAACUACAUUUUGAAAUCAAAUCAAGUGUGUUCUAUUUUCCAUCCAAAUAAAUCUGGAGCACUUUC
This 389-nucleotide long non-coding RNA is filed under the name Homo sapiens (human). RNAcentral describes it as "non-protein coding lnc-TMEM18-3:1". The record is from RNAcentral. Lineage: Eukaryota; Metazoa; Chordata; Mammalia; Primates; Hominidae.